This is a long non-coding RNA of Oncorhynchus tshawytscha (Chinook salmon), 3787 nucleotides long. NCBI's taxonomy places the organism in Eukaryota, Metazoa, Chordata, Actinopteri, Salmoniformes, Salmonidae. The record is from Ensembl.
CUGUUUACUUCCUGGUUGCGCCAUGAGAAGACGAUAGCUGCGUCAAAGCUCCCAAACAAAAGUUUCACGUUGAGUAAAGUUCUGGAUAUGUUGGAUCUAGGUGACUGCCCAGACAAGGCAUGCAACAUUGCAGUUAUCCCUCAGAGAUUGUGAUAGCGGUGGGUCAGAUAUGGACUAUGAGGGGGAGACAGGCCAUUUGCCAGCCAGGCUGUUGAAUGUGUAUGCUGAACCUAUGCAAACAGAUCAUGACAGGAACAACGUUAUCAGUGAUGAUGACCUACCCCUCACUACCCCGCACUCUCCUCCCUGAGACUGGGUUGGGUCAUGGACCUCAAGGUUGCAAGUUCCUUCAUGACAACCUCUUCACUUUACUUGCACUCCUCAAUGAAAUGACAAAAAGAGGAUAUGGGAGAUCUGGAACGAUGAGACAAAAUCGUCUGUUUGAUGUCCCAUUCAAGCCACAGAAAGACUUCAUGAAGUUACUCUGGGAACCUCUGAGGUUUUGAGCCAAGGAGACAAGUUGCUGGUCCGUUAGAAAGACAAUAACAUUGUCACAGUGGCAACAAACAUGGAGGAGAAAUACAGUGAGACCUCUGUCAAGAGAUGGAACAAGGAGCGAUGUGCCUUUUGACAAAGUCCUACAACAAAAUGCAUCAACCGAUACAAUGAGCACAUGGGGGGUGUUGUUCUUCACAACCUACAGGUUUCAAGAUACUAUAUCUCCAUCAGUUCUAAGAAGUGGUGGUGGCCCAUCUUUGCAUGGUCUCUCAACAGUGCACUCGUAAACAUCCAUUUAUUUUACAGAGAUUAUAGGAGGGACAAUCGACCUGCUCACCUUCUCAUGGAUAGUGGCACAGUCUCUUAUGCAAAAGUUUGGCACGAGACCACUGAGCCACGGAAGGAGAUCUCUACUGGCUGCCACUGUUGAAAAUCAGGCAAGAUAUGACAAAGCUUCUCACUGGCCAAUCAACACGAUGCACCGGUUCCAGAGAUGUCGUCAUUGUGACAAACGCACUACCUAUGCAUGUGAGAAAUGCAAAGCGCCGCUGCACAUUGAGUGCUUCAAUAUAUACCAUGGACAGUAGAAAAGGCGUUCAGAGCGAAUGAAAAAGGGCUGAAAAGGCCAAUAAAAAAACAAAUGUGAAAAGUCAAUAAAGGGUGAGGAGAAGCAGUACCACGGACUCUAGGAAGAAAAGAAAAGUCAACGAAAAAGGGAAUCAAUUGAUUCAAGACCUACUGUAUGAAAGUAGGUCUGACUGAUUGUAGUUCAAAAUAGUGAUGCACAAACUAAUUGUGCAAUUGGUUCUGAAGCCUACCUCUAUGAUAUAGAUGUAUGUAUGUGUAUAUAUAUAUUUAUACAUACAUACAUACAUACAUACAUACAUACAUACAGUUGAAGUCGGGAGUUUGCAUACACCUUAGCCAAAUACAUUUAAACUCAGUUUUUCACAAUUCCUGAUAUUUAAUCCUCGUAAAAAUGCCCUGUCUUAGGUCAGUUAGGAUCAACACUUUAUUUUAAGAAUGUGAAAUGUCAGAAUAAUAGUAGAGAGAAUUAUUUAUUUAAGCUUUUAUUUCUGUCAUCACAUUCCCAGUGGUGAGAUGGGAAGAGGUCUUGGCUUUUGAAAUUGCAAGGCAUCUAGCUCUGUAAUAAUCCUUGUAGGUUACUCAUAAUCCUACACAAAGGUGAAGACUGAGUGUACUGUAUUCAUCAAAAGCUGUUAACAUAAUGUACGUGUGCACACCCAGAGUUAAUGAAGGUUCUGCCCUCAAGGUUUGGAGAGGGCAGAGAAACAUCUCUGUAUUUAUCAAGGAAUUGGACCACAUAGCUCCAUCUGAUGCUAAGCAUGCACUGCCGACAUUGUAAAACAACACCUGAAACAUCAUGCAUGUCACCAGAAAAAAAAAGUUGUUGCUGUGGCCUUGCAUAGGGAAACCAUAAGAACGAUUAACUUGAAGGGAAUCAGUAACCUACACAGGUUUUUGGGGGUUUACUAGGCCUACAAACUACUGCCAAUACACACACUUGUUAUUGUGAAAACUGUCCUCAACCCGGACUCCGGGGUAGAUGGAACAUAGUAAAUCUAAAUCUGGGACACUACAUUUAGUAUGAUAUGUUAUAUUUCAUAUGGUAUGUAUUCAUUUGUGGAUGUGCAUCAUCCAUUUCGGAUGAUAUGUUACAAAUUGCAAUUUGUACAAUGUCACCACAACGUCAUAAAAUGUGCUAUUUUAGUUGAAAAGAAAGAUAUGUAUUGGUAAUAAUAUUUUUGUUACAAUUUGGAAGUUUUCUUAAUUAUAUGUAUUCAUUGUCAUGUCUAAAUGUCCAUAUAUGUCUUGAUGAUACUCAAAAACAUGUUUUUACCACAUCAAAAUCUUUAUAUUUGACAUUAUUUUAGGGAUUAAGAACAAGCAUAUAAGGUUCACAUAUGGGAGAAAUCAUAAAUCAAUUUAAUACACUGUUUCCUAAAAAUAUAUGUACCCUGAUGGUAAUGACUUAGCAUUGUGGUAAUGACAGUGUCAUGGAAAUAACAUUUCACAUAAAACAUUUUAAUUCAAAAGGGACUUAUUUUGGUGAGCUCUGUGUAUGACCACUUGACCUCUGGUAAUUCUGGUAAUUCUAUCUUGAACUUCUGAUGGAGUUUUGCCAGUGUGUCGUUCAUGUAUCGCUUCUGCAUUUCAUUCUUUUGUCUUGUCAAUCUUUCCUUUUUCCUGUUGAUGCUCGACUGUUACCAUCACGUUCCUAAAAACGUUUUAUUUAAUCUUCUAUUGAUGGGCUGAUUGCAUUCGAAUGUUUCUUUUUUGAGUACCACAGACAAGUUGGCCGUUUUGUUGUUUGCCCGCAUUGUCUUCACAGAGAAUCCAUAUUCUAUUUGCCAUUUUCACCAUACAAUACUUUUUCAGUAUUUUCCCAGCCAAAACCUUGGAUAUCACUGGUGGGUCUUUUGCACUCGGUUGCUUCUGGUAUUUCUCUCUCAGCUCUGAGAUGAUGGUGUUAUGUUAUUUUUUUCAGAUUCUGUGGCUUUGACCGCAUUUGUUGUUUUGUUUUUGUACCGGAGGAAUCCAAAAUUCUGAUCUUUUCUGACAAUCUAUUAUAUCUUUUUAAAAAUAAUUUCCCUCCACAUUCUUUCCGCGGCCUUCAACUUCAUAUUGGCCAUACAUAGAUCCUUGUAGACUUUGGAUCUGUUUUUUUUACACCUUUUCUACAGCCUCUCUGUCUUGGGGUUUCCGAGUUUGAAUAGGAGGGGGACUCUGGUGACAUUUGAGGGGCAGAUAGGUCAUCAUUCGGUAGCUGUAAGACUUCCUGUGAGUGUGGUGGUGUGUUCCUUGACAGGUAUGACUCCAUAACCACUCCUCUCUGGAUAGUUGAUCUGCUGUUUCUUUGGUUCAUUUUCCAUUGCCUCCUUUUUCUACCCGUUUUUCUCACUGGGAAAGUUGUGAGAUUGGUUUCACAGUUCACCACUUUCUUGUCUCUUGAUUUGUCUUUCUUUGUGUCGUUCGGGUUUGAGUUUUGCCGGGUUAGGCCGUCAUUGUAAAUAAGAAUUUGUUCUUAACUGACUUACCUAGUUAAAUAAAGGUUAAAUAAAUAAAUGCUAUUGGUAUCUAUAGGAUCUUGUUUGAUUUUGUUAGUAUGUGCUCUUGUCCUAUCCUUGGUUGAAUUUGAGGGUAUCUUAUAGAAGAAUAAAUUAAUAAAUAAUUAAAGACAGUAAUAACCUUAGUAAAUCACAUAAAUAGAGAUCAAAUCACUCAAUAAAAUGUAAUGGUCUUAUUUAGCAAAUAAGUGUUAAAUUUC